This 334-nucleotide long non-coding RNA is filed under the name Elaeis guineensis (African oil palm). Its description in RNAcentral is "long non-coding RNA (EGUI_LNC051925)". The record is from RNAcentral. Lineage: Eukaryota; Viridiplantae; Streptophyta; Magnoliopsida; Arecales; Arecaceae.
UGGAUAUCACAAUAAACCUCAAUGAGUUCAAAGAUAGGAAAACCUAUCCAAUUGCUUCUUAUGCAACUCUCAACAUAACCUGCUUCUAAAAAUACUCAUAGCCUUAUGGAUAUCACAACAAACUAUAAUAUUUUUUAGUUAAGUCACACCCUUCAUUUUCAUACAGUCAUAUUUGAAAAAUGAUACCUUUAUAGAUAUCACAAUAAAGCAACAUAUCCAAAUAUACUAUAAAGCAUAUAAUAUGCACCAAGACAAAUCCACAUCAAUCCCCAUAGCAAGUCUUAUGGAUAUUACAACAAAUCUACUAUAAUUUUUUAUAGGAUAUUGACUAGGC